UACGUAGGGGGCUAGCGUUGUCCGGAAUCAUUGGGCGUAAAGCGCGUGUAGGCGGUUCGGUAAGUCUGCUGUGAAAGUCGGGGGCUCAACCCUCGAAUGCCGGUGGAUACUGUCGGGCUAGAGUGCGGAAGAGGCGAGUGGAAUUCCUGGUGUAGCGGUGAAAUGCGCAGAUAUCAGGAGGAACACCAAUUGCGAAGGCAGCUCGCUGGGACGUAACUGACGCUGAGGCGCGACAGCGUGGGGAGCAAACAGG
This 253-nucleotide ribosomal RNA is filed under the name uncultured bacterium. Its description in RNAcentral is "partial 16S ribosomal RNA". It matches the Rfam family "Bacterial small subunit ribosomal RNA", at positions 524 to 776 of the family's 1533-position model. The record is from RNAcentral.